AUACAGUGACUGGUAAGCACUCAGGAGGCUUCGGCCCAGGAGCUGCAGAGCCUGCCAGGAGCUUCUGAUUCCCGCUCUAACCCUGUGACAUGAAGACAUCCGUCAGGGAGGGGAAUGGGCUGGCUGCAUCCUGGCCGAGGAGCUGGAACUACUGGCGGGAGAGCUGGCCCGAACUGCCUCCUCUAGGAGAAAAAGCAGAUGCUUGGCUGGUCUGUUUUCAGGAUGAUAUCUGUCUUAGUUGUGGCAUGAGAACUCUUAGUGGCAGCAUGUGGGAUCUAGUUUCCGGAGCAGGGAUUGAACCCGGGACCCCUGCAUUGGGAGCAUGGAGUCUUAACCACUGAACCACCAGGUCUCACAAACGCACAACACUACAUCACAAUGGAACCGGUGAAGUUUGGGAAUCUGGUAAAUGACCUCAGCUGGACUCACAAAUUCCUUGGCCCCUGGUACUGGAAUCCAGGGCCUGGAGAAGUUCCAUCUGAACCUGGACAUCUCUGCCAGGAUGAGCCAUUCCUCCACAAAUCUGCCAUGCUGCUCACUUGUAAUUGGGGUUUGGUCAAUGAAACCUCUGGGGACUUUCCAGAGCAUCCUGAGUCACUUGUCCAUGUGGGUUUAGUGGGUUUGGAGAACACAGAAUGCCUUUGAAUUAUGUUCAAAGAAAGGCAUGCAUGCACACUCUCUCGUGUCUGACUCUUUGUGACCCCAUGGACUAUAGCCCUCCAGGCACCUCUAUCCAUGGGAUUUCCCAGGCAACAAUACUGGAGUGGGUUGCCAUUUCCUCCUCCAAAAGAAAGAAGUGCAGGAAAGUAAAAAUCUAGAUAGAGAGAGAAAGAUUGAGGAUGAAGGAAGGAAGCAAGGAGGGACUCUUUCUGCAGCCAAUACCAGGGAAAGCCUGGUGUCAAGCUAAUGACGCCCACCCAAUUUUCCACCUUAAUGGGCCCAGCAGCACUGCAUGCAGAGCACGCUAAUCAGAGAACAGAAACUGAAACAUCUAUUUUUUUAAAAUUAAAUUCUGGAAGAACUUGAGUCACUUUACUUUCAGAUAUUUAUUUUAUUCAUUUUACUCACCUAUAGACCAGGGCUUCAGAAUAUCUGCUCCUUUUCAAACUUCUUUCUGUUCCUCUGGAAAAUGGAAAGCAACGCAAAUACUCAAUAUCAUAUUCUGAGCUAGACACUGUAUCAGACAC
This is a long non-coding RNA of Bos taurus (domestic cattle), 1187 nucleotides long. Lineage: Eukaryota; Metazoa; Chordata; Mammalia; Artiodactyla; Bovidae. The record is from Ensembl.